CAUUCUCAUCAUGAUACACACAAACUAAACAUUAGAUCCUCUCAAGUUAUUAUGAAUAGAGGCCAGGAUUACAUGAAAAGCUCAAAUGGAUUGGGUGGUAGAUUCUAUGACCUCUAUCCUGAAUCUCCUCCAUUCCAAAACCAGCAAGGUUCAUAUGACUCUGUUGACGGAAGACUUCCAUUUAAAGAUCUGGCCCGUGUUCAACAUUCUCAUCAUGAUGCACACAAACUAAACAUCAGAUCCUCUCAAGUUAUUAUUAAUAGAGGCCAGGAUGACAUGAAAAGCUCAAAUGGAUUGGGUGGUAGAUUUUAUGACCCCUAUCCUGAAUCUCCUCCAUUCCAAAACCAGCAAGGUUCAUAUGGCUCUGUUGACGGAAGACUUCCAUUUAAAGAUCUGACCCGUGUUCAACAUUCUCAUCAUGAUGCACACAAACUAAACAUCAGAUCCUCUCAAGUUAUUAUUAAUAGAGGCCAGGAUGACAUGAAAAGCUCAAAUGGAUUGAGUGGUAGAUCCUAUGAC
This 519-nucleotide long non-coding RNA is filed under the name Zostera marina. RNAcentral describes it as "long non-coding RNA (ZMAR_LNC006003)". The record is from RNAcentral. Lineage: Eukaryota; Viridiplantae; Streptophyta; Magnoliopsida; Alismatales; Zosteraceae.